RNAcentral lists this ribosomal RNA (631 nucleotides) under Prodaticus luczonicus. Its description in RNAcentral is "partial 16S ribosomal RNA". It matches the Rfam family "Bacterial large subunit ribosomal RNA", at positions 1831 to 2739 of the family's 2925-position model. The record is from RNAcentral. Lineage: Eukaryota; Metazoa; Arthropoda; Insecta; Coleoptera; Dytiscidae.
UCCUUAGUUUAUUUAUUUAAGGUCUGGCCUGCCCACUGAAAUUAUUUAAAGGGCCGCAGUAAUUUGACUGUGCAAAGGUAGCAUAAUCAUUAGUUUUUUAAUUGAAAGCUUGUAUGAAAGGUUGGACGAGGUAAAUUCUGUCUCUAUUUAAUUUAUUAUAAAAUUUAAUUUUUAAGUUAAAAAGCUUAAAUUUAUUUAAAAGACGAGAAGACCCUAUAGAUCUUUAUAUUUAUAUUAUUAAUUUUAAUGUAGAAUUUUUUAUUAAUUAAUAGUAAAAAUAUUUUAUUGGGGUAAUAAAAAGAUUAAAAAAAUUCUUUUUGAAAUUAUUCAUUAAUUUAUGUUUAUAUGAUCCAAUUUUUUUGAUUAAAAGAUUAAGUUACCUUAGGGAUAACAGCGUAAUUUUUUUAGAGAGUUCAUAUCGAUAAAAAAGUUUGCGACCUCGAUGUUGGAUUAAAAAUUAUCUUAGGUGCAGAAGUUUAAGAUUUUGGUCUGUUCGACCAUUAAAUUUUUACAUGAUCUGAGUUCAGACCGGCGUAAGCCAGGUCGGUUUCUAUCUUUAUUUAAUUAUUAUAUUUUAGUACGAAAGGACCAAAUAUUUAGUAUAUUUAUAUUUUAUUUUUUGAAUAUUAUU